RNAcentral lists this transfer RNA (84 nucleotides) under Canis lupus familiaris (dog). It matches the Rfam family "tRNA". Rfam says of the family: Transfer RNA (tRNA) molecules are approximately 80 nucleotides in length. Their secondary structure includes four short double-helical elements and three loops (D, anti-codon, and T loops). The record is from Rfam by way of RNAcentral. RNAcentral also lists the same sequence under 1 other name. Lineage: Eukaryota; Metazoa; Chordata; Mammalia; Carnivora; Canidae.
GCCUGGGUGGCUCAGCGGUUGAGCGUCUGACUUCAGCUCAGGUUGUGAUCCCAGGGUCCCUGGGAUUGAGUCCCACAUCGGGCU